ACGCACGCUGGCGGCGUGCUUCACACAUGCAAGUCGAACGGAAAGGCCCUGCUUGCAGGGUACUCGAGUGGCGAACGGGUGAGUAACACGUGGGUGAUCUGCCCUGCACUUCGGGAUAAGCUUGGGAAACUGGGUCUAAUACCGGAUAGGAGCCAUCUUUAGUGUGGUGGUUGGAAAGUUUUUUCGGUGUAGGAUGAGCUCGCGGCCUAUCAGCUUGUUGGUGGGGUAAUGGCCUACCAAGGCGGCGACGGGUAGCCGGCCUGAGAGGGUGUACGGCCACAUUGGGACUGAGAUACGGCCCAGACUCCUACGGGAGGCAGCAGUGGGGAAUAUUGCACAAUGGGCGCAAGCCUGAUGCAGCGACGCCGCGUGGGGGAUGAAGGCCUUCGGGUUGUAAACUCCUUUCGCUAGGGACGAAGCUUUGUUGUGACGGUACCUAGAUAAGAAGCACCGGCUAACUACGUG
Molecule: ribosomal RNA, 465 nt
Filed under: uncultured bacterium
Lineage: Bacteria
Description: partial 16S ribosomal RNA
Rfam family: Bacterial small subunit ribosomal RNA
Source: RNAcentral